CUCGCAUCGAUGAAGAACGCAGCGAAAUGCGAUAAGUAAUGUGAAUUGCAGAAUUCAGUGAAUCAUCGAAUCUUUGAACGCACCUUGCGCUCCCUGGUAUUCCGGGGAGCACGCCCGUUUGAGUGUCAUGGUAUUCUCAACCUUCAUAACUUUGUUGUUAUCGAAGGCUUGGAUGUGGAGGUCGUGCUGGCUCUCACGAGUCAGCUCCUCUGAAAUGCAUUAGCGUGAACGUUUACGGAUCGCUAUCAGUGUGAUAAUUAUCUGCGCUGUUAGUGUUGAAGUAUGUGUAGUGUCGCGCUUCUAACCGUCCUUCAGUUGGACAACUUAUCUGACAUCUGGCCUCAAAUCGGGCGGGACUACCCGCUGAACUUAAGCAUAUCAAUAAGCGGAGGAAAAGAAACUAACAAGGAUUCCCCUAGUAACUGCGAGUGAAGCGGGAAAAGCUCAAAUUUAAAAUCUGGCAGCCUUUGGUUGUCCGAGUUGUAGUCUGGAGAAGCGUCUUCCGCGC
This 508-nucleotide ribosomal RNA is filed under the name uncultured fungus. RNAcentral's name for it is "eukaryotic LSU rRNA". The stretch from base 337 to 508 matches the Rfam family "Eukaryotic large subunit ribosomal RNA", at positions 1 to 170 of the family's 3401-position model. The record is from RNAcentral. Lineage: Eukaryota; Fungi.